GUGGGGGGUCAAUAACUGAAAAAGUUGUGUCAAAUCGAAAUCCUAGUUUACGAGAAUAUGCAAUUAGAGUCCUUAACGAUAUUCUGAGGAUUUUUACUCAGGACGGUACUGAGAUAUGAACGCUUAAGAUUCUUAUCUUAGACGGCAUACAGCGUUGCGGUUCAGCAUCUUGUCAGCCAUUUAUGAUCUCCAUUCCAUUCACCGAUGGUUUUCCUUUGGGCUCUUUAACAUGUUACCAUGUUCGCGGACGAGACUAACAUGUGUUGCUGAGAAGGAUUACCGCGAAGUUGGAGAUCUUAUAUGACUGGUUAUGCAGAAAUAGAAUAAAAUUAAAUGUAUAGU
Molecule: long non-coding RNA, 342 nt
Organism: Cylas formicarius (sweet potato weevil)
Lineage: Eukaryota; Metazoa; Arthropoda; Insecta; Coleoptera; Brentidae
Exons: 3
Source: RefSeq, a predicted model, not a curated record